RNAcentral lists this ribosomal RNA (576 nucleotides) under uncultured bacterium. RNAcentral's name for it is "bacterial SSU rRNA". It matches the Rfam family "Bacterial small subunit ribosomal RNA", at positions 338 to 916 of the family's 1533-position model. The record is from RNAcentral.
CCUACGGGAGGCAGCAGUAGGGAAUAUUGGGCAAUGGAGGCAACUCUGACCCAGCCAUGCCGCGUGCAGGAUGAAGGCGUUAUGCGUUGUAAACUGCUUUUAUAUAGGAAGAAAAAGACCUUGCGAGGUAGAUUGACGGUACUAUAUGAAUAAGCACCGGCUAACUCCGUGCCAGCAGCCGCGGUAAUACGGAGGGUGCAAGCGUUGUCCGGAUUUAUUGGGUUUAAAGGGUGCGUAGGCGGUUUAUUAAGUCAGUGGUGAAAGACGGUCGCUCAACGAUUGCAGUGCCAUUGAUACUGGUAGACUUGAGUGUGAUUGAGGUAGCUGGAAUGGAUAGUGUAGCGGUGAAAUGCAUAGAUAUUAUCCAGAACACCAAUUGCGUAGGCAAGUUACUAAGUCACAACUGACGCUGAGGCACGAAAGUGUGGGUAUCAAACAGGAUUAGAUACCCUGGUAGUCCACACUGUAAACCGAUGAUAACUAACUGUUGGCUUUUGGGGUCAGUGGUACAGAGAAAUCGUUAAGUUAUCCACCUGGGGAGUACGCCGGCAACGGUGAAACUCAAAGAUUAGACGG